Molecule: small RNA, 99 nt
Filed under: Serratia rubidaea
Lineage: Bacteria; Pseudomonadati; Pseudomonadota; Gammaproteobacteria; Enterobacterales; Yersiniaceae
Description: partial RtT sRNA
Rfam family: RtT RNA
About the family: This family represents a bacterial cis-regulatory element known as RtT RNA. The exact function of RtT is unknown although it is thought that it may be involved in changing the cellular response in relation to amino acid starvation.
Source: RNAcentral
ACCUGCGUUCAGGUUCGAGCCGAGCGAAGCGAGACGACAACGCGUAGCGUUGCCCGUAGGGCGAGGCCGGAGGCCGAGUCAAUCCUGCACGACCCACCA